Molecule: ribosomal RNA, 460 nt
Filed under: uncultured bacterium
Lineage: Bacteria
Description: partial 16S ribosomal RNA
Rfam family: Bacterial small subunit ribosomal RNA
Source: RNAcentral
CCUACGGGAGGCUGCAGUGAGGAAUAUUGGUCAAUGGACGAGAGUCUGAACCAGCCAAGUAGCGUGAAGGAUGACUGCCCUAUGGGUUGUAAACUUCUUUUAUAUGGGAAUAAAACAGGGUAUGCAUACCCUCUUGUAUGUACCAUAUGAAUAAGGAUCGACUAACUCCGUGCCAGCAGCCGCGGUAAUACGGAGGAUCCGAGCGUUAUCCGGAUUUAUUGGGUUUAAAGGGAGCGUAGGUGGAUUGUUAAGUCAGUUGUGAAAGUUUGCGGCUCAACCGUAAAAUUGCAGUUGAAACUGGCAGUAUUGAGUACAGUUGAGGUGGGCGGAAUUCGUGGUGUAGCGGUGAAAUGCUUAGAUAUCACGAAGAACUCCGAUUGCGAAGGCAGCUUACUGGACUGCAACUGACACUGAUGCUCGAAAGUGUGGGUAUCAAACAGGAUUAGAUACCCUAGUAGUC